Molecule: long non-coding RNA, 653 nt
Filed under: Equus asinus (donkey)
Lineage: Eukaryota; Metazoa; Chordata; Mammalia; Perissodactyla; Equidae
Description: lncRNA (ENSEASG00005037523.1)
Source: RNAcentral
GGCGCUGCCAUGGGCCCCCGAGGAAGGCGCUGUUUCCUCCUGUGGAUGGACGACGGCCCAGUCCGGUUUCCUCCCUGGCUCCGAUCUGUCCUGCAGUUUCUUCGGGCCUGGGAGCUCAGUAUUGUCACAGGGCUAUGCACAGAAGUAGACAGAAGAUAAAGAGUGGGCCCAUCCCGCCAAGGAACCCAUCCAGGCACAUUGCUUUUCAUUGUUGUCUCCUCAGCCUCGUCUUGGCUGUGACAGUUUCUCACGUUUUCCUUGUUUCUGACGGAGUUUCCCUGCGAGGAGGCUGGCAGACUGGCAGAGCGGGCCUGGCGCUCGUGUCGUGGUUCCAUUGGCGCCACCGGCCUGGGAGGAAGCCCACAGCCACGAAGUCCUUCUCAUCACGUCCUGUCAGGGGCCAGGCGCCCCAUGACUCAUCACUCAGUGUGAACCCUGGUCCUCAGGCUGGGGUGCCAUUCCCAUUUCUCGACUGUGAUGUUCACUGCACCUCCUUGCACUGUACUUUGGAAGCAAGUUCCCAGGUGCCAUCCAGACUUAGAGGAGUUAUGUUCCCACUCCUUGAGGGGCCAUCUACACAAAUUCUAAGUCUCUGUACAAGAGAGUUGUCUCUCCUGCCUACUCAUCUACUUAGUCAAUUGUUUAGAUCAGUG